GGGACAACUGUAGGUCUAAAUUUCUCUUUUAUUAUUGGGUCUAAAAAGCUGGCAAAGUGCCUGAUACCAAAAUGAACAUAGUUUCAUAGAAGCCCCCAUAUAUACAUGUAGUUACUUGUUCUAAUGUGAGCU
Molecule: long non-coding RNA, 132 nt
Organism: Sphaeramia orbicularis (orbiculate cardinalfish)
Lineage: Eukaryota; Metazoa; Chordata; Actinopteri; Kurtiformes; Apogonidae
Exons: 3
Source: RefSeq, a predicted model, not a curated record